UUCACUUUAUCUAUGAUCAAGAUGAAUUAGAUUUGAAUCAAGGAAGGUUAAGCCUCCCAUAUGUCAAGGAUAACCACUAAUCUUUAACUCAUUGAUCAAAAAGAAAAAGAAAAAAAAAGAUGAAUAAGUAUGUACAUAAAUGGAAUUAAAAUGAGGUAUCCAACACACAUUGAUCAGACAGGAAUAGUAAACAGAAGCAAAAU
Molecule: long non-coding RNA, 203 nt
Filed under: Lathyrus oleraceus (garden pea)
Lineage: Eukaryota; Viridiplantae; Streptophyta; Magnoliopsida; Fabales; Fabaceae
Description: Pisum sativum (pea) long non-coding RNA (PSAT_LNC001710)
Source: RNAcentral